RNAcentral lists this ribosomal RNA (762 nucleotides) under uncultured Streptococcus sp. RNAcentral's name for it is "bacterial SSU rRNA". It matches the Rfam family "Bacterial small subunit ribosomal RNA", at positions 28 to 776 of the family's 1533-position model. Lineage: Bacteria; Bacillati; Bacillota; Bacilli; Lactobacillales; Streptococcaceae. The record is from RNAcentral.
GACGAACGCUGGCGGCGUGCCUAAUACAUGCAAGUAGAACGCUGAAGGAGGAGCUUGCUCUUCUGGAUGAGUUGCGAACGGGUGAGUAACGCGUAGGUAACCUGCCUGGUAGCGGGGGAUAACUAUUGGAAACGAUAGCUAAUACCGCAUAAGAGUAGAUGUUGCAUGACAUUUGCUUAAAAGGUGCAAUUGCAUCACUACCAGAUGGACCUGCGUUGUAUUAGCUAGUUGGUGAGGUAACGGCUCACCAAGGCAACGAUACAUAGCCGACCUGAGAGGGUGAUCGGCCACACUGGGACUGAGACACGGCCCAGACUCCUACGGGAGGCAGCAGUAGGGAAUCUUCGGCAAUGGACGGAAGUCUGACCGAGCAACGCCGCGUGAGUGAAGAAGGUUUUCGGGUUGUAAAGGACUUUUGUCAGGGAAGAAAAGGGCGGGGUUAAUACCCCUGUCUGAUGACGGUACCUGAAGAAUAAGCACCGGCUAACUACGUGCCAGCAGCCGCGGUAAUACGUAGGGUGCGAGCGUUGUCCGGAUUUAUUGGGCGUAAAGCGAGCGCAGGCGGUUAGAUAAGUCUGAAGUUAAAGGCUGUGGCUUAACCAUAGUACGCUUUGGAAACUGUUUAACUUGAGUGCAAGAGGGGAGAGUGGAAUUCCAUGUGUAGCGGUGAAAUGCGUAGAUAUAUGGAGGAACACCGGUGGCGAAAGCGGCUCUCUGGCUUGUAACUGACGCUGAGGCUCGAAAGCGUGGGGAGCAAACAGG